CCUACGGGUGGCAGCAGUGAGGAAUAUUGGUCAAUGGCCGGGAGGCUGAACCAGCCAAGUCGCGUGAGGGAAGACGGCCCUACGGGUUGUAAACCUCUUUUGUCAGGGAGCAAGGUGCAGGUCGGGACCUGCUGUGAGAGUACCUGAAGAAAAAGCAUCGGCUAACUCCGUGCCAGCAGCCGCGGUAAUACGGAGGAUGCGAGCGUUAUCCGGAUUUAUUGGGUUUAAAGGGUGCGCAGGCGGAGGCACAAGUCAGCGGUAAAAUCGCGGGGCUCAACCCCGCUCCGCCGUUGAAACUGUGUCCCUUGAGUGCGCGAAGGGUAGGCGGAAGGCGUGGUGUAGCGGUGAAAUGCAUAGAUAUCGCGCAGAACCCCGAUUGCGAAGGCAGCGUGCCGUGCCGCCACUGACGCUGAGGCACGAAAGCGCGGGGAUCGAACAGGAUUAGAUACCCGUGUAGUC
RNAcentral lists this ribosomal RNA (459 nucleotides) under uncultured bacterium. RNAcentral's name for it is "partial 16S ribosomal RNA". It matches the Rfam family "Bacterial small subunit ribosomal RNA", at positions 338 to 795 of the family's 1533-position model. The record is from RNAcentral.